UCAGAUUGAACGCUGGCGGCAGGCCUAACACAUGCAAGUCGAACGGAAACAUGUCUAGCUUGCUAGAUGAUGUCGAGUGGCGGACGGGUGAGUAAUGCUUGGGAACUUGCCUUUGCGAGGGGGAUAACAGUUGGAAACGACUGCUAAUACCGCAUAAUGUCUACGGACCAAACAGGGCUU
Molecule: ribosomal RNA, 180 nt
Filed under: uncultured gamma proteobacterium CHAB-XI-9
Lineage: Bacteria; Pseudomonadati; Pseudomonadota; Gammaproteobacteria
Description: partial 16S ribosomal RNA
Rfam family: Bacterial small subunit ribosomal RNA
Source: RNAcentral